GUCACACCUAGCCAUCAAUUUCCUGUCAUGUGCACCUGUGGAAAAUAACACACUUGGGUGCUUUAUUUAUUGUAUUUUAUAAAUCUGCAAUCAUCUCAAGAAUCUUUUCGUCUACUUGGAAUUUCCUGAAACGCCACAAAAUGACAUUUAUUUUGUCGGAUUUGUGUCGGAUUUAAGCUAACGUUAACUAGUUAACUGUUAGGCAUCUGCUAGCCAGGAAUGUUUACCUGUGUGUCUGGGUUUGAUCAGAUGUAUUUUAUGUCAACUAUGACGAUUAUGCAUUUAUGAAGCUAAAUUAUAUCUAAAUAGUUAUAAAAUGUAUUACAUGAAAUAUAAUCAGAAUAAAUCUAACUAACGUUAGCAAAUGUUGGUACAGUCAUUCUAGCUAGCUACACCCUGCCUACCAGUUCCAGGUGUGUACUUCCUUGGUAGAUAUGCCCAAAAGAAAAUCCGAGAUAUACAGGAGCGUGAGGCAUCAGUAUAUCGCUCAAGCCCGAAGUCAGUUCCACUUCGAGAGUAACCAGAGAUCGUGCAACAUGACAGGUAGGCUACAGAUAGUCAUCUCACCUUUAGCCUAUUAACAGUAACAGUCCCUGAAAUCUCAUGCAACACUCAUUAUGUCAAAUAAUUGCGAUACUGCCGUGUUGAUGAUUCAUACUCAUAUUUGUGCAGUUUGAAACCCUGUUGAUGUUUUUUAUUUACAGUGUUGUCAAUGCUCCCUACCUUAAGAGAAGAGCAAGUACGUGGUCAUGACUUGAUUGCUCAGCAAAAUUAUUAGUUUAUGAAUGACAUCACCUAUUUCUCUUCUAGACCAGCAAAUAAACUUGAAAUAUGAGGACCUGAAAAUGAUCAGUAAAUUAUUAUUCUUCAACAUUAAUUACUUUGAAUCAAUAACUAAAGUGAUUUAAUCGCUUGAUGUACUGCUAUCUGUCAUAUGGCAAUCACUCCUCUUUUCCCAUUCCCCCAGGUUUCACCCGAAGUGUCGUGGCUGUGCACAGUACCUGUAUGUUGAUUGUUUUACAUCGUGUUUAGCUCAAUAUCAUUGGUGGCUACUUAUACAUGGACAAUUCUGUCAGCAAGAAUUGAAUGAUGCCUUUGGCCCCUCCGGAUGUGCAACAACAGUACCUCUCCAGCAUCCAGCAACUCCUUGGGGAUGGGUUGAGUGAGAUGAUAACGGCGGUGAAGAAAGCAGAAUACAUUAGGCGGGGUGUCCCUGAAGCAGAGUCUGUCCCUGCAGGAGCUGGAGCAGCACCUGAAUCAGGUCAGAGCCCAGGUGGAGGAGUGGGAUGGGGGCUCCACAUAUAGACGUCUCUCCUGGUACAUGAUGCCUGAUGAGGAGAAUACUCUGGCUGCACAGGCCUGUGGUCUGACGGAGAAUGAUAUCAGUAAGAUAAAGCUGCUCAAUGAGACCAGAGAUGUGCUUGAAAGCCCGGACUUUGGGCUUGACAACAUGGUAGAGUUCCCCACCGAGAGCACAGGAAGACUCCGCCCCCAGCACUACACCUGAUGGACUCUCGAAUUUAAGUCUACCAGUUGCCAAAAUAAUCCAGCUUGUGAAUGGACAGAUCCACUCGAUCUACAGUGAAAUACCAAGUCGCUUUGUACAGGAUCUCCUGAUGAUAGACCAAGUGAAGGAGUUUACUGCCAAUGUGUAUGAGACAUUCAGCACCUCCCAUGAACUGAAAUAAGGGAGUGGACAUAUUACUGGUAGACCUGGACCUCUCGGCAUGUCUGCAUGACGCUGUGGACAUCACAGAUGGAGGAACAAAUGCACUUAUUCUCUGUACCAAGUCACAAAACUCAAGAGGAUCGGGUCCUUGGAAAGUUACUGUUCCCUGUCCUUGGUGGGAGAACUGUGUUCCAUUGUGGACUGUAGGGUUGUAAACUGCUGCUGCCUUUACCUGGACACUUCAAGGUCAAAGACCCACUGCAUCUUCUGUUGUUCUGCCCCUGAACAAGGCAGUUAACCCACUGUUCCCCGGUAGGCCGUCAUUGUAAAUAAGAAUUUGUUCUUAACUGACUUGCCUAGUUAAAUAAAGGUUCAAUCUUAAGAACUUGAGUUUUUGUCCUACCUUUACUGAUCUGUUCCCCCAAUGCUUAAAAAGUCAGCCAGACAACCCUCCCUGAAUCAGGUAAUUUUCCUGUGCC
Molecule: non-coding RNA, 2148 nt
Organism: Salmo salar (Atlantic salmon)
Lineage: Eukaryota; Metazoa; Chordata; Actinopteri; Salmoniformes; Salmonidae
Source: RefSeq, a predicted model, not a curated record